UACGGGAGGCAGCAGUGGGGAAUAUUGCACAAUGGGCGCAAAGCCUGAUGCAGCCAUGCCGCGUGUAUGAAGAAGGCCUUCGGGUUGUAAAGUACUUUCAGUCGUGAGGAAGGUGUUAAGGUUAAUAACCUUAGCAAUUGACGUUAGCGACAGAAGAAGCACCGGCUAACUCCGUGCCAGCAGCCGCGGUAAUACGGAGGGUGCGAGCGUUAAUCGGAAUUACUGGGCGUAAAGGGCACGCAGGCGGUUAAUUAAGUUGGAUGUGAAAUCCCCGGGCUUAACCUGGGAAUGGCAUUCAAGACUGGUUAGCUAGAGUCUUGUAGAGGGGGUAGAAUUCCAUGUGUAGCGGUGAAAUGCGUAGAGAUGUGGAGGAAUACCGGUGGCGAAGGCGGCCCCUGGACAAAGACUGACGCUCAUGUGCGAAAGCGUGGGGAGCAAACAGGGAUUUAGAUACC
RNAcentral lists this ribosomal RNA (455 nucleotides) under uncultured bacterium. RNAcentral describes it as "bacterial SSU rRNA". It matches the Rfam family "Bacterial small subunit ribosomal RNA", at positions 340 to 786 of the family's 1533-position model. The record is from RNAcentral.